This 468-nucleotide ribosomal RNA is filed under the name uncultured bacterium. Its description in RNAcentral is "partial 16S ribosomal RNA". It matches the Rfam family "Bacterial small subunit ribosomal RNA", at positions 28 to 507 of the family's 1533-position model. The record is from RNAcentral.
GACGAACGCUGGCGGCGUGCUUAACACAUGCAAGUCGAACGGAAAGGCCCUGCUUUUGUGGGGUGCUCGAGUGGCGAACGGGUGAGUAACACGUGAGUAACCUGCCCUUGACUUUGGGAUAACUUCAGGAAACUGGGGCUAAUACCGGAUAGGAGCUCCUGCUGCAUGGUGGGGGUUGGAAAGUUUCGGCGGUUGGGGAUGGACUCGCGGCUUAUCAGCUUGUUGGUGGGGUAGUGGCUUACCAAGACUUUGACGGGUAGCCGGCCUGAGAGGGUGACCGGCCACAUUGGGACUGAGAUACGGCCCAGACUCCUCCGGGAGGCAGCAGUGGGGAAUAUUGCACAAUGGGCGGAAGCCUGAUGCAGCAACGCCGCGUGCGGGAUGACGGCCUUCGGGUUGUAAACCGCUUUCGCCUGUGACGAAGCGUGAGUGACGGUAAUGGGUAAAGAAGCACCGGCUAACUACGUG